Molecule: ribosomal RNA, 465 nt
Filed under: uncultured bacterium
Lineage: Bacteria
Description: partial 16S ribosomal RNA
Rfam family: Bacterial small subunit ribosomal RNA
Source: RNAcentral
GACGAACGCUGGCGGCGUGCUUAACACAUGCAAGUCGAACGGUGAACCUGCUUCGGUGGGGGCUCAGUGGCGAACGGGUGCGUAACACGUGGGCAACCUGCCCUCUGCUCUGGGAUAACUCCAAGAACUUGGGGCUACUACUGGAUAUGACCGCUGCCCGCUUGGUCUGGUGGCGGAAAGAUUUAUCGGCUGGGGCUGGGCCCGCGGCCUAUCAGCUUGUUGGUGGGGUAGUGGCCUACCAAGGCCACGACGGGUAGCCGGCCUGAGAGGGUGACCGGGCACACUGGGACUGAGAGACGGCCCAGACUCGUACGGGAGGCAGCAGUGGGGAAUAUGGCGCAAUGGGCGAAAGCCUGUGACAGCGACGCCGCGUGGGGGAUGACGGCCUUCGGGUUGUAAACCGCUUUCAGCAGGGACGAAGCGAAAGUGACGGUACCUGCAGAAGAAGCACCGGCUAACUACGUG